GUGGAAGGCAGUUGUUCACGGCAGACCAGUGAGCGGCGGUGGGUGGGCGCGACCACAUGGUGGUUGGAAAGUAGGCUUCGCGGCGUUCAGCCUCGGCCACCAUCGUACCACGAUCUCGGCCCACCCGGAAAGUCAGAUGAAGAGGUGGUGGAUGACUGAUCCCAGAGAGGAGAACAAGCCUCCAAGCACGUGCUCGUCAACUCCAUGCCGGCCGCUCCAAGCGCCCCUGCUUCGUGUCUUCGAGGCAGGCGCUGAGAUAGCCUUUGCAGCGAGCUGUGGUGUGUGGACUCUGCAGCGAGAUAGGAUUCAGAAUCCUUUUCCGUGAUAGCACCUCCAAGGAAGGAAGGAAGGACAUUGAGGUCGGCACCUCCUGAAGGCAUGCAUGCUCUCCACCGAGAGAGGGAAGGGCAUCUUUUUCUUGGGUUGCAGUUUCCACCUUGUUGUUGGGUGAGCUGAUUCGUUGUUUGUCAGAGCUCUUGUGGAUAAUCAGACAUGGGGUUCAUGGCAAAAUUAGGACAGACUGAAGGCAGCAAAUUCCGCGUUGGUCGUGCACUUUGAGGAGAAGACAUUGUCUUUAUAUAAGUGCCCCUACAAUCAUCUCUUUACAGCAGAGAUAAGGCCUUCAGAUAGAUAUGGCCGCAUAAAUCGCAUCGAUGGAUCCAGUCCUUCGCUAGGUCCAACCUACCCCGCACCAGCCUCAAGCACGCGAGAC
This is a long non-coding RNA of Triticum dicoccoides, 712 nucleotides long. RefSeq lists it as uncharacterized. The transcript has 5 exons. NCBI's taxonomy places the organism in Eukaryota, Viridiplantae, Streptophyta, Magnoliopsida, Poales, Poaceae. The record is from RefSeq and is a predicted model, not a curated record.